UAGGGAAUCUUCCGCAAUGGACGAAAGUCUGACGGAGCAACGCCGCGUGAGUGAAGAAGGAUUUCGGUUCGUAAAACUCUGUUGUUAGGGAAGAAAAAAUGUAUAGUAACUAUAUACAAAAGAGACGGUACCUAACCAGAAAGCCACGGCUAACUACGUGCCAGCAGCCGCGGUAAUACGUAGGUGGCAAGCGUUGUCCGGAAUUAUUGGGCGUAAAGCGCGCGCAGGUGGUUUAGAAAGUCUGAUGUGAAAGCCCACGGCUCAACCGUGGAGGGUCAUUGGAAACUAAUAAACUUGAGUGCAGGAGAGAAAAGUGGAAUUCCUAGUGUAGCGGUGAAAUGCGCAGAUAUUAGGAGGAAUACCGGUGGCGAAGGCGACUUUCUGGCCAUAUACUGACGCUGAGGUACGAAAGCGUGGGUAGCAAACAGG
Molecule: ribosomal RNA, 429 nt
Filed under: Verrucomicrobiota bacterium
Lineage: Bacteria; Pseudomonadati; Verrucomicrobiota
Description: Verrucomicrobia bacterium partial 16S ribosomal RNA
Rfam family: Bacterial small subunit ribosomal RNA
Source: RNAcentral